Molecule: small RNA, 683 nt
Filed under: Drosophila ananassae
Lineage: Eukaryota; Metazoa; Arthropoda; Insecta; Diptera; Drosophilidae
Description: GF26702
Source: RNAcentral
GUGGUGUAGUGUGUGGAUUUCCAACAGGGCACGCAUGCGAAGAGCGGUCAUAAGAUAGACAUAGAAAAGCUUAAAAGCUUAUCACCGAAUAUCAUUGAUCUGCGGUCACCUUGGAUAAGUGAACGAAACAUCACGCGAUUCUUAUCUAUGUUUUUGCAUAUCGAGAUAAGAGUGCCGUUAUGUAAAAGCUUUUUCUCUAGCAUAGUUAGGGCUAGAUUUGCAUAGGAGAGCUUUGACAUUUUUUGACGAGCUUGAAAGCAAUACGGCUGCAAUUGUAAGCCAAGUUUAAUAAAUAUUUAAAUUGUGCUGAAAAUUAAAUAAAAUCAAAUCCCAGACGAAUUAUCGGGAUUCAUUUAAUAAGUGUUUAGUUAUUUUAUGCCAGUGCCACGUGCCAGUGCGGCUAGUACCAAAUUAUGUAAGAGGCUAGCACCAGUUUUUUUAAUCGGCUAGUACAGGAUUAUGUAAUCGUCUAGCACCCUAUUAUGCAACCGGCUAUCUGGAGGCCGAAAUGGAUGAAAUAUGGGAAUUAACUAGUGCAGAGAUUCGACGCGGGAUCGCAAUCUUUUGAUAAAUAUUUUUUUGGAUUCGACGACAAGCCCUUUUCGCUACACGGAGAGAAAACUCCAGCGAAUUAUUGAUAAAUUUCUAUUCCUGUCCUUGAGCUCAACGGCGGCGAACAUCGG